AGGUGGUUAGAGCGCACCCCUGAUAAGGGUGAGGUCCCUGGUUCGAGUCCAGGAUGGCCCA
RNAcentral lists this transfer RNA (61 nucleotides) under Trichormus variabilis ATCC 29413. RNAcentral's name for it is "tRNA-Ile". It matches the Rfam family "tRNA", at positions 14 to 71 of the family's 71-position model. Rfam says of the family: Transfer RNA (tRNA) molecules are approximately 80 nucleotides in length. Lineage: Bacteria; Bacillati; Cyanobacteriota; Cyanophyceae; Nostocales; Nostocaceae. The record is from RNAcentral.